Molecule: ribosomal RNA, 224 nt
Filed under: uncultured archaeon
Lineage: Archaea
Description: partial 16S ribosomal RNA
Rfam family: Archaeal small subunit ribosomal RNA
Source: RNAcentral
AAUCUUCACAAUGCGCGCAAGCGUGAUGAGGGAAUCCCAGGUGCCCUUGCACUGCAAGGGCUUUUGUGGAGUGUAAAAAGCUCUACGAAUAAGGGCUGGGCAAGACCAGUGCCAGCCUCCGCGGUAACACUGGCAGCUCGAGUGGUGGUCGUUUUUAUUGGGCUUAAAGCGUCCGUAGCCGGCUUAUUAAGUCUUUUGGGAAAUCUGGCGGCUCAAUCGUCAGG